UAAUACCGCAUACGUCCUACGGGAGAAAGCAGGGGAUCUUCGGACCUUGCGCUAAUAGAUGAGCCUAAGUCGGAUUAGCUAGUUGGUGGGGUAAAGGCCUACCAAGGCGACGAUCUGUAGCGGGUCUGAGAGGAUGAUCCGCCACACUGGGACUGAGACACGGCCCAGACUCCUACGGGAGGCAGCAGUGGGGAAUAUUGGACAAUGGGCGCAAGCCUGAUCCAGCCAUGCCGCGUGUGUGAAGAAGGCCUUAUGGUUGUAAAGCACUUUAAGCGAGGAGGAGGCUACUGAAGUUAAUACCUUCAGAUAGUGGACGUUACUCGCAGAAUAAGCACCGGCUAACUCUGUGCCAGCAGCCGCGGUAAUACAGAG
RNAcentral lists this ribosomal RNA (372 nucleotides) under Acinetobacter calcoaceticus. RNAcentral describes it as "bacterial SSU rRNA". It matches the Rfam family "Bacterial small subunit ribosomal RNA", at positions 164 to 530 of the family's 1533-position model. Lineage: Bacteria; Pseudomonadati; Pseudomonadota; Gammaproteobacteria; Moraxellales; Moraxellaceae. The record is from RNAcentral.